Long non-coding RNA from Bos taurus (domestic cattle), 422 nucleotides. NCBI's taxonomy places the organism in Eukaryota, Metazoa, Chordata, Mammalia, Artiodactyla, Bovidae. The record is from Ensembl.
AGCUCUGUGUUCUGUUCUCAGUCAUGGCUCAGCACCCAACCCAGAGGCCUGAGCUCCUUCAGACACCUUCAGCUGUGCACUCUUUCAUGGAACCAAUAGUCAUGGAAGAUGAUUUUUCUGUCUAGUUCAACACUUAGUUUCCUGCUGAAGACCAAGGCGUGGAAGCAGUGCUCUCCUGCAUUUCAAGUGGAUUCUUUACCAACUGAGCCACCAGGGAAGCCCUGAUAAACUUCUAGCCACAGAACAGUGCAACUCACUUCGAUGCCCUGAAGAGGAAUAAACAUGUACAUUUCAACUAGAAGCCAUCAGUCCUUUCAAGCUCUGUCUGUCUGUCAUGUGCAGAUGACCAGGGGAAGGGUCCUCAGGGGAGUACUCUGACAAUGGCCAUGAGAAACAUUUUAGAAUGACAUCAUUGUAGAAAC